UACGUAGGGACCGAGCGUUGUCCGGAUUCAUUGGGCGUAAAGAGCUCGUAGGCGGCUGUUCAAGUCGAACGGGAAAACUCGGAGCUCAACUCCGAGCCUGCGUUCGAUACUGGACGGCUAGAGUCUGGUAGGGGGAUCUGGAAUUCCUGGUGUAGCGGUGGAAUGCGCAGAUAUCAGGAGGAACACCGGUGGCGAAGGCGGGAUCCUGGGCCAGUACUGACGCUGAGGAGCGAAAGCGUGGGGAGCGAACAGG
This 253-nucleotide ribosomal RNA is filed under the name uncultured bacterium. Its description in RNAcentral is "partial 16S ribosomal RNA". It matches the Rfam family "Bacterial small subunit ribosomal RNA", at positions 524 to 776 of the family's 1533-position model. The record is from RNAcentral.